GACCGCCGGAGCGACGAGGCCGCAGGACAGCAGCCAGAUGCCGGUGAGGACGGAGGCGCAGGUGGUCACAGUGGUGCGCUUCUUCAGGGGAUGAACGGUCGCGUAGUAUCUGUUAGGAAAGAGCAGAAAGUCGCACUUAAGCCUCUGGGGGCCAAAACGGAAUAAUGGUUGGCCAAAUCCAAACUCCCACUGAGAUGGCACUAAUGAGAAAGGGUACUAGAAUCCAGCAGAGAGUCUGAGGUCUACUGCUGCACAUGACCCGAUGGAGAACGAUUAAUGGAAGUCAGACAGCAGGUAUACCUCGGCUCCUCUCCCUUCUGCUUCCUUUCAAUUGUCAGGAGGAGCCCACAUUAUCAAGAUAACACGCAGCAGACCUGCUCACUAUGCAUGAGGCCUUCACCUUCGGCGGUUUCCGAGAAUUUUGAUGGAAGAUGAGACCGCCAGAAAGGGGGUUGUUGUUAAUUUGGCAACCAAGUCACACAGGUUCUGACUGGAGGUGAAUCUGAUAUCAUCAUGGGGGUCAACGCAGAUUCGGGCAAUAUGGCUAACACUGAGGCUCUCACCAGGGGGAGUGACUUAGCCUCGACUUGGUGGUCACUGAGCUUGAAGUGCCGAUAAAAGGUACUACAGGCCAGAGUGAAUGAGUGUAUGAAAAAUAUGGCCAAUUUGAAGGUAAAUGGUUUCCUACAUAAGAAUUCUGAUGCGACCAUGUACUUUCACCUGAGCAGAGCGUAAGUGGCCACAGCACAUUAAUGGAAGGGAAAAUAACGUCCCAAAUCAGCUGUAUCUAGCAGUGGGAGUGAUGUUGGAUAUUACCUUAACAUCACCAGCUGCACUUACGUAGGCUUUACACGGGCUUUUAAGCCAUCUGUUUGCUCUUAUGGAAUCACGAUGUUUACUGUCCAACACGGAGCAGCACAACUGGCUUGUGGAGGUUGGCAGAUAAGAACAUACUGUAAAGUUUGAAGGACAUUACAGGAUGGACAUGAACAGUGUGAAGAUGAAGGCUGCGUUUAUUAUCACAUACACCAUAAAAAAAACAUACAAUGUGUUGUGAAAUUCGAUUUCAGCACCUUACAGUAAGUACUAGGAGCAGAGGGCAUCAGAAUGCAAUGUUAUUGAUAGCCAAAUGUGUUUUGUGCUUAAAAUUAAACAGACGUUAAAAACA
This is a long non-coding RNA of Acanthopagrus latus (yellowfin seabream), 1168 nucleotides long. RefSeq lists it as uncharacterized. The transcript has 4 exons. The record is from RefSeq and is a predicted model, not a curated record. Lineage: Eukaryota; Metazoa; Chordata; Actinopteri; Spariformes; Sparidae.